CCUACGGGUGGCUGCAGUGAGGAAUAUUGGUCAAUGGGCGGGAGCCUGAACCAGCCAAGCCGCGUGAAGGAAGAAGGCGCCAGGCGUCGUAAACUUCUUUUGUGCGGGAGCAAUAAUGGUCACGUGUGGCCAGACGAGAGUACCGUACGAAUAAGCAUCGGCUAACUCCGUGCCAGCAGCCGCGGUAAUACGGGGGAUGCAAGCGUUAUCCGGAUUUAUUGGGUUUAAAGGGUGCGUAGGCUGUGAGGUAAGUCAGCGGUGAAAUGCCCCCGCUCAACGGGGUGAAGUGCCAUUGAUACUGCCUUGCUGGAAUGCGGAUGCCGUGGGAGGAAUGUGUGGUGUAGCGGUGAAAUGCAUAGAUAUCACACAGAACACCGAUUGCGAAGGCAUCUCACGAAUCCGCGAUUGACGCUGAUGCACGAAAGCGUGGGUAUCAAACAGGAUUAGAUACCCUGGUAGUC
RNAcentral lists this ribosomal RNA (461 nucleotides) under uncultured bacterium. RNAcentral describes it as "partial 16S ribosomal RNA". It matches the Rfam family "Bacterial small subunit ribosomal RNA", at positions 338 to 795 of the family's 1533-position model. The record is from RNAcentral.